AGUGAACGCUGGCGGUAGGCCUGACACAUGCAAGUCGAACGGCAGCACAGUAAGAGCUUGCUCUUACGGGUGGCGGGUGGCGGACGGGUGAGGAAUACAUCGGAAUCUACUUUUUCGUGGGGGAUAACGUAGGGAAACUUACGCUAAUACCGCAUACGACCUACGGGUGAAAGCAGGGGAUCUUCGGACCUUGCGCGAUUGAAUGAGCCGAUGUCGGAUUAGCUAGUUGGCGGGGUAAAGGCCCACCAAGGCGACGAUCCGUAGCUGGUCUGAGAGGAUGAUCAGCCACACUGGAACUGACACACGGUCCAGACUCCUACGGGAGGCAGCAGUGGGGAAUAUUGGACAAUGGGCGCAAGCCUGAUCCAGCCAUACCGCGUGGGUGAAGAAGGCCUUCGGGUUGUAAAGCCCUUUUGUUGGGAAAGAAAAGCAGCAGGUUAAUACCCCGCUGUUCUGACGGUACCCAAAGAAUAAGCACCGGCUAACUUCAUG
Molecule: ribosomal RNA, 492 nt
Filed under: uncultured bacterium
Lineage: Bacteria
Description: partial 16S ribosomal RNA
Rfam family: Bacterial small subunit ribosomal RNA
Source: RNAcentral